CCUACGGGAGGCAGCAGUGAGGAAUAUUUGUCAAUGGGCGCUAGCCUGAACCAGCCAAGUAGCGUGAAGGAUGACUGCCCUAUGGGUUGUAAACUUCUUUUAUAUGGGAAUAAAGUGCAGUAUGUAUACUGCUUUGCAUGUACCUUCUGAAUAAGGAUCGGCUAACUCCGUGCCAGCAGCCGCGGUAAUACGGAGGAUUCGAGCGUUAUCCGGAUUGAUUGGGUUUAAAGGGAGCGUAGGCGGGUUGUUAAGUCAGUUGUGAAAGUUUGCGGCUCAACCGUAAAAUUGCAGUUGAUACUGGCAGCCUUGAGUGCAGUAGAGGUAGGCGGAAUUCGUGGUGUAGCGGUGAAAUGCUUAGAUAUCACGAAGAACUCCGAUUGCGAAGGCAGCCUGCUGGACUGUAACUGACGCUGAUGCUCGAAAGUGUGGGUAUCAAACAGGAUUAGAUACCCCUGUAGUC
This 460-nucleotide ribosomal RNA is filed under the name uncultured bacterium. RNAcentral describes it as "partial 16S ribosomal RNA". It matches the Rfam family "Bacterial small subunit ribosomal RNA", at positions 338 to 795 of the family's 1533-position model. The record is from RNAcentral.